Non-coding RNA from Parastrongyloides trichosuri, 72 nucleotides. NCBI's taxonomy places the organism in Eukaryota, Metazoa, Nematoda, Chromadorea, Rhabditida, Strongyloididae. The record is from Rfam.
GGGGAUAUAGCUCAGUGGUAGAGCAUGCGACUGCAGAUCGUAUGGUCCCUGGUUCGAUCCCGGGUGUCCCCU